Molecule: ribosomal RNA, 396 nt
Filed under: uncultured bacterium
Lineage: Bacteria
Description: bacterial SSU rRNA
Rfam family: Bacterial small subunit ribosomal RNA
Source: RNAcentral
UAAUACAGAGGGUGCGAGCGUUAAUCGGAAUUACUGGGCGUAAAGCGCACGUAGGCGGCUUGGUAUGUCGGGUGUGAAAUCCCCGGGCUCAACCUGGGAACUGCAUCCGAAACUGCCUUGCUCGAGUAUGGGAGAGGGAAGCGGAAUUUCCGGUGUAGCGGUGAAAUGCGUAGAUAUCGGAAGGAACAUCAGUGGCGAAGGCGGCUUCCUGGACCAAUACUGACGCUCAGGUGCGAAAGCGUGGGGAGCAAACAGGAUUAGAUACCCUGGUAGUCCACGCCCUAAACGAUGACAACUGGAUGUCGGGAGGGUUUGCCUUCCGGUGUCGUAGCUAACGCGUUAAGUUGUCCGCCUGGGAAGUACGGCCGCAAGGUUGAAACUUAAAUGAAUUGACGG